RNAcentral lists this ribosomal RNA (508 nucleotides) under uncultured bacterium. Its description in RNAcentral is "partial 16S ribosomal RNA". It matches the Rfam family "Bacterial small subunit ribosomal RNA", at positions 28 to 507 of the family's 1533-position model. The record is from RNAcentral.
GACGAACGCUGGCGGCGUGCUUAACACAUGCAAGUCGAACGGGCCUUGUCCCCUUUUUUUUUGGGGGUGGGGUUAGUGGCGAACGGGUGAGUAACACGUGAGUAACCUGCCCCUCACUUCUGGAUAACCGCUUGAAAGGGUGGCUAAUACGGGGUGUUCUGGCCUGCUCGCAUGGGUGGGUUUGGAAAGAUUCGACCGGUUUUGGUUGUUUUGGUGGGGGAUGGGCUCGCGGCCUAUCAGCUUGUUGGUGGGGUGAUGGCCUGCCAAGGCUUUGACGGGUAGCCGGCCUGAGAGGGUGGGCGGUCACACUGGGACUGAGACACGGCCCAGACUCCUACGGGAGGCAGCAGUGGGGAAUAUUGCACAAUGGGCGCAAGCCUGAUGCAGCGACGCCGCGUGAGGGAUGGAGGCCUUCGGGUUGUGAACCUCUUUCGCCAGUGAAGAAGGUCCUGCUCUUUGUGGUGGGGUUGACGGUAGCGGGGGUAAUGAAGCGCCGGCUAACUACGUG